UACGGGGGGGGCAAGCGUUGUUCGGAAUUACUGGGCGUAAAGGGCUCGUAGGCGGCUUGUUGCGUCGACCGUGAAAACCCGGGGCUCAACUUCGGGCUUGCGGUCGAUACGGGCGGGCUAGAGUCCGGAAGAGGAGAGUGGAAUUCCACGUGUAGCAGUGAAAUGCGUAGAGAUGUGGAGGAAUACCGAUGGCGAAGGCAGCCCCCUGGGAUAACACUGACGCUCAUGCACGAAAGCGUGGGGAGCAAACAGG
Molecule: ribosomal RNA, 253 nt
Filed under: uncultured bacterium
Lineage: Bacteria
Description: partial 16S ribosomal RNA
Rfam family: Bacterial small subunit ribosomal RNA
Source: RNAcentral